Molecule: ribosomal RNA, 509 nt
Filed under: Chloroflexota bacterium
Lineage: Bacteria; Bacillati; Chloroflexota
Description: bacterial SSU rRNA
Rfam family: Bacterial small subunit ribosomal RNA
Source: RNAcentral
GUUUGGAGAGUUUGAUCCUGGCUCAGGAUUAACGCUGGCGGCGUGCCUUAUGCAUGCAAGUUGAACGGGGAAACGGGCUUCGGCUCGUUUUCCAGUGGCGAACGGGUGAGUAACACCUGAGUGACCUGUCCCGAGGUGGGGGAUAACCCUGGGAAACUGGGGCUAAUACCGCAUAACGUGGUGGGGGUGGUGCCCCAUCACCAAAGCCUUCGGGCGCCUGGGGAGGGGCUUGGGGCCUAUCAGGUAGUUGGUAGGGUAAAGGCCUACCAAGCCGAAGACGGGUAGCUGGUCUGAGAGGACGGUCAGCCACACGGGGACUGCGACACGGCCCCGACUCCUACGGGAGGCAGCAGCAAGGAAUCUUGCGCAAUGGGCGAAAGCCUGACGCAGCAACGCCGCGUGGGGGAAGAAGGCCUUCGGGUUGUAAACCCCUUUUCUCGGGGAAGAUAAUGACGGUACCCGAGGAAUAAGCCUCGGCUAACUACGUGCCAGCAGCCGCGGUAAUACGU